Long non-coding RNA from Cryptomeria japonica (Japanese cedar), 2274 nucleotides. RefSeq lists it as uncharacterized. The transcript is spliced from 2 exons. Lineage: Eukaryota; Viridiplantae; Streptophyta; Pinopsida; Cupressales; Cupressaceae. The record is from RefSeq and is a predicted model, not a curated record.
AUCAUUUCCAUCUGGUGUUUUUUUUUUUCAUGAUCAUCCUUGUUUCGCUUCUUCUAUACAUAAAUUAUUUGUUGGGGUCUCCAUAUAUUCUCAUAUGAAAGAGAAGCAUCCUUGUUUCGCUUCUUCUAUACAUAAAUUAUUUGUUGGGGUCUCCACAUAUUCUCAUAUGAAAGAGAAGCUUUAGUUGUGACCAAAUUUUGAUGCAGGAGGUUUACUUGUUUAGCAGUUUCAGUUUUAAGGUUCGAAUUUCUUAGAGGUAUCGAUAGAAUAGUUUAGAUCUGUGCAUGGUUUUGAUAAUCUGAUCUAGUUGAAUUUAAGAUGGAUAAAAAAUAUCUAUCAAUGAGAUUUAAUUUAUAUAGUUUUUGAGGCCGGGUAAACAAGUAAUUCUUCCAAACACAAUCAGAGCUUCACUUUCAGAUGAAAAUACGCAGACUCCAACAAAUAAUUAAUGUUGUUCAGAAGAAAAAGAAGUAAAGAAGAAGAAAAGUUCUGUUUUGAAUCUGUACUUUUCUUUUUGGGAAUCUGUACGCAGCUAGAGUCCUUGCCUUUUGCCGGGAUGACAGAUUGGUCUUUAUGUUAUGUGUUUUCUAUCAAAGUUGUUCAAUGCUUGCCGUGGUUCCUACAAGUUUUGUGCAGAGAUGGUUAUAGUUUUUGCAAUACUAUUUUGACUUUCCUCCAUUCUAGCUGCUACACCUGCCACAGAAGAAGAUGGUCUCAAAUUAUAGAUUUUUCACUUGUCAUUGUGCAGACAAAGAACCAGUGGUCAUAGCUUGCAGUGGACUAUCUGGACUUUUUCUUUCACACAACUGGUCAUAUUUUGCGGUGGACUAUCUGCACUUUUUCUUCACCGGACUCUUCCUGCAUAUCUGCAUAUGACAAACUAUGCAUGUGUGAGACUCAGAUAUCACAAGAGCCAUACUAGCCCUCAGCAACUCCUUUGCAUCAAGUCUUUUCGUGCCUUAUUAUUUGGAGAAUGCUAUCAAAACUUAGCACACUGCUCUUUUUCUAAACGAGAAAAAUACAGAUUCUGAUGUUCUUAAAAGCUGUAUAUUUUUGAGCUCAUCCUUUUCUUCUAUAAACCUCUAUGACACCCUCAAACUAUGCUCUAGCUCUACUUAUCUUAAACACGUUUGUAAUAGGAGAAUGAGUGUGGAAUGCUAUCCACUACGAAUUCAUGGGAGUUUUGUUCAUGAUCUAGAUGAUUCUAGUGCUACCUUUAUCUUUUUUUUCAUGUUUAAAAUCCGUAGAGCCAAAACAUAUGUAGAGUCAAGUACCGUGACUAUACUAAUGUUGGUGCACGUUAAAUUUUAGGUAGAUAACUCUCAAUAAGUAACACAGGAGAAUACAAUAGCAAGAGACACAGUAAAUAUAAUCUGCACAUUAUGUAGUUUGCAAGAAAUUGGAGUACAUAAAAAUACAAUAACAUUACAAAACACGUGUGGGGAAACUAUCUACUCAUCUCAUGCUGUGGUGUAUCAGUGUUCAGGCUAGAUGGAAGUGGCUCAUUACAUGCUCAUUACAUGUUCAAUCACUGCAUGUAACCAGGUAAGCAGACACCUAUUAGUAAGUAAGUAGACACCUAUAAAUAAGCAUUAGAAUAACUGCAGUAUUAUGUUAAUGAGUAAUAUAGGAGAAUACAACAGCAGGAGACAUAGUAAAUAGAAAUGUGCAUACAACUACUUUCAGGAAUACAUUACAGUUAGAGCAAAUUUUAAAAUGAAUCGCUAGACAAAAAUUGAAUAAACAAUUACAUUGAUAAUAUUCAUGAGCCUUACAAAAUAUUGUAUAUUUGUAAUCUAUUUAGGUUAAGAAGUAUGUGAUAAAUAUUGAUGUGGGUACAAGAUGCGGUAUAGGAAACAGUGUCAUACAAUUUCGAAAUGGCAUACAAUUGAAGGUCUUCAUGAGCAAGCUAUACAGCUGGAGAUCUUCAUGAUCAAACAGAUGGUGUGUUUCAUGAGCAGGCAACUACUGAAUCAACAGAACGGAGGCUCUGCUACUGUUUCUUGAUCAAUUACUUAAUCUCCUGCAAUUGUUGCUGUGAACAAUUCCUUUGACGUUUGUAUCUGUAGUCGACAGUUGAAAAUGAUGAGUACGGUUGAAAUUUAAAAGUACAAAAAGCUGUUCUAUAUUGUAACUCUUUCAUUGGUAAUCUUAAGCAUUUUGCUCUGUUAUACUAAUAUACAGUGACUCUUAUUACCUUGUUAUAAAUAAUUGAUUCUGGGCUAUGAAAGUUACUUGGCUCAAAAUUGAAUAGAGCUCUGAUAUUAAUUGUCA